GGCCCCUUAGCUCAGGCGGUUAGAGCAGGCGACUCAUAAUCGCUUGGUCACUGGUUCAAGUCCAGUAGGGGCCACCA
RNAcentral lists this transfer RNA (77 nucleotides) under Serratia symbiotica. RNAcentral describes it as "transfer RNA Methionine". It matches the Rfam family "tRNA". From Rfam's summary of the family: Transfer RNA (tRNA) molecules are approximately 80 nucleotides in length. Their secondary structure includes four short double-helical elements and three loops (D, anti-codon, and T loops). Lineage: Bacteria; Pseudomonadati; Pseudomonadota; Gammaproteobacteria; Enterobacterales; Yersiniaceae. The record is from RNAcentral.